UACGGAGGGUGCAAGCGUUAUCCGGAUUCACUGGGUUUAAAGGGUGCGUAGGUGGGUUGGUAAGUCAGUGGUAAAAUCUCCGGGCUUAACUCGGAAACUGCCGUUGAUACUAUCAAUCUUGAAUAUCGCGUAGGUAAGCGGAAUAUGUCAUGUAGCGGUGAAAUGCUUAGAUAUGACAUAGAACACCAAUUGCGAAGGCAGCUUACUUCACGAUCAUUGACACUGAGGCACGAAAGCGUGGGGAGCAAACAGG
RNAcentral lists this ribosomal RNA (253 nucleotides) under uncultured bacterium. RNAcentral describes it as "partial 16S ribosomal RNA". It matches the Rfam family "Bacterial small subunit ribosomal RNA", at positions 524 to 776 of the family's 1533-position model. The record is from RNAcentral.